UACAGGGGGGGCAAGCGUUGUUCGGAAUUACUGGGCGUAAAGGGUUCGUAGGUGGCCAACUUAGUCAGACGUGAAAUCCCUCAGCUUAACUGGGGAACUGCGUCUGAUACUGGAUGGCUUGAGUGCAGGAGAGGAACGCGGAAUUCCAGGUGUAGUGGUGAAAUGCGUAGAUAUCGGGAGGAACACCAGUGGCGAAGGCGGCUUCCUGGCCUGUUCUUGACGCUGAGGCGCGAAAGCUAGGGGAGCAAAAGGG
RNAcentral lists this ribosomal RNA (253 nucleotides) under uncultured bacterium. RNAcentral describes it as "partial 16S ribosomal RNA". It matches the Rfam family "Bacterial small subunit ribosomal RNA", at positions 524 to 776 of the family's 1533-position model. The record is from RNAcentral.